AUGGUCCCAGCCUGGGGAGGUGCUCGCAUGUUUCUGGCCACCCACAGCACCGUGGGGUGGCACCGUGGCACCCAGCCUGCCACCGCCACCACGAGGGUGACCUGCUGGGGACAGCUGAGCUGGGCAGGGACCUCGGAGCAGCUGGGAUGUCCUACAGGCAGUGAUGCCCCAUCAGAGGGGGCCUGGACCCCGUCUGCGUGCUGUGCAGCAGCUGAAGGUGCAGCCAGGGCUGCAGCCACUCCAAAUUCAGCCAAAGCUGGCGGUGAAGCCCCGCUGGGGAUGGAAGAUGCAGCCCUUGGGGCAGGGAAGCUGUCCCCAGCCGUGGCAGACAGGGACAUGAGCCCAGCUCCUUGCGCUGCCGGCCCAGGAGCGCCGGGGCUUGGAGGGGUCCGUGCCGGUGGGAGCGGGCAAGGCUCGCUGUGCAGAGAGCAAAUGCGAGCCUCGUAUUGCUCGUUAUCUAAUCUGCGCCGCUUUCCCUCCUCCUUGUUUACCGUGCUUGAGUUUCCUCAAUUAAUUCUGACAGCUGCAGGCUGGGCCGUGACGUCAGCCGGCGGUGGCGAAGCCCAAAAGCCUGGAGAGGCAUCGAGUGUGACCCCGGGGGUGACCUCGGGGACCAGGUGGGACAAAGCCAUCGCUCCCCGUGCCUGGCACCUGCUGCCCGCAGCACCCCGAGCCUCUCGGGCUGACCACGAGAUGCCCCUCGGUGCCGCGAUGCUCUGCUCUGCCCCCUGCCAGGCUGCAGGGACCAGGGACGUGCCCCGUCCUCACACGUGGGACACCCAAACCUGUGCCACGCUGGUGCCGUGGGCUCCCAUGGCCCUGGGGCUCCUGGGGGGGUUGCAGUUGGUGGCCACGAGGGGUGCGGGGCUGGGCUUUGAGCAGAGGAGCCUUGGGCUCCCCUGUGCCCGCUGGGACCUUGCGGCACCUCUGCUGUCCCCACACCCUGCUGUGGAGUGGCAGGAUGGAGAGGGAAGGACGGGCUCCCCUGGAUGUGGAUUUGGACAAUCCUGGUGCCCCCAUCUUAGAAACAAGGGGACAAGGAGGAGCUCGAGCUCCUGA
Molecule: long non-coding RNA, 1059 nt
Filed under: Anas platyrhynchos platyrhynchos (common mallard)
Lineage: Eukaryota; Metazoa; Chordata; Aves; Anseriformes; Anatidae
Description: lncRNA (ENSAPLG00000029155.1)
Source: RNAcentral